Molecule: ribosomal RNA, 326 nt
Filed under: uncultured eukaryote
Lineage: Eukaryota
Description: partial 18S ribosomal RNA
Rfam family: Eukaryotic small subunit ribosomal RNA
Source: RNAcentral
CCCUUAGAUGUUCUGGGCUGCACGCGCGCUACACUGAUGCAUGCAACGAGUUUUCGACCUUGCCUGAAAAGGUUGGGUAAUCUGUUUAACAUGUGUCGUGAUGGGGAUAGACCAUUGCAAUUAUUGAUCUUCAACGAGGAAUUCCUAGUAAGCGCGAGUCAUCAGCUCGUGCUGAUUAUGUCCCUGCCCUUUGUACACACCGCCCGUCGCUCCUACCGAUUGAGUGAUCCAGUGAAUGAUUCGGACCAGCGUGCUGCUCAGAUCCUGCGCAGUGUGCUGGGAAGUCUAGUGAACCUUAUCACUUAGAGGAAGGAGAAGUCGUAACA